AGCCCCUUUCCCCCCCUACCCGCUUCCACCUUCUUCCCCCACCCGCUUCCACCACCGAGCCACGCCGCACCCGCUCUGAAACCGGCCGCCGCGCCACCUCCGACCCCCGAUCCGGCCACCGCGCCACUUUCUACCACCGGAUCCUCCCGCGGAUCCACCUCCUCCCCCUGGAUCCGCCGCCGGCCGCACCUUCUCCCCUGGAUCCGCCUGCGGCGCCAACCGCCCAUGCCCCGCCCCGCCCUGGACCCACUCACCUCCCGCCGCCGAUGCCGCGCCGCCCCGAACGUCCCCGUGGCCGGUG
RNAcentral lists this ribosomal RNA (301 nucleotides) under Triticum aestivum (bread wheat). RNAcentral describes it as "partial small subunit ribosomal RNA". The record is from RNAcentral. Lineage: Eukaryota; Viridiplantae; Streptophyta; Magnoliopsida; Poales; Poaceae.